AUUGAACGCUGGCGGCAUGCCUAACACAUGCAAGUCGAACGGUAACGCGGAGAGCUUGCUCUCUGGCGACGAGUGGCGGACGGGUGAGGUAAUACUUAGGAAUCUGCCCAUUAGUGGGGGACAACUCGAGGAAACUCGAGCUAAUACCGCAUACGCCCUACGGGGGAAANCCGGGGGAUCUUCGGACCUCGCGCUAAUGGAUGAGCCUAAGUCGGAUUAGCUUGUUGGUGAGGUAAAGGCUCACCAAGGCGACGAUCCGUAGCUGGUCUGAGAGGACGAUCAGCCACACUGGGACUGAGACACGGCCCAGACUCCUACGGGAGGCAGCAGUGGGGAAUAUUGGACAAUGGGCGCAAGCCUGAUCCAGCAAUGCCGCGUGUGUGAAGAAGGCCUGCGGGUUGUAAAGCACUUUCAGUAGAGAAGAAAAGCCUAGGGUUAAUACCCCUGAGUCUUGACGUUACCUACAGAAGAAGCACCGGCUAACUCCGUG
This 490-nucleotide ribosomal RNA is filed under the name uncultured bacterium. RNAcentral describes it as "bacterial SSU rRNA". It matches the Rfam family "Bacterial small subunit ribosomal RNA", at positions 30 to 507 of the family's 1533-position model. The record is from RNAcentral.